GGGCAGGUGGCAGAGCGGUCAAUUGCAUCUGGCUGUAAACCAGACGCCUUUAUGGCUACGGGGGUUCGAAUCCCUCCCUGCCCA
This 84-nucleotide transfer RNA is filed under the name bacterium. RNAcentral describes it as "tRNA-Tyr". It matches the Rfam family "tRNA". Rfam says of the family: Transfer RNA (tRNA) molecules are approximately 80 nucleotides in length. Their secondary structure includes four short double-helical elements and three loops (D, anti-codon, and T loops). Further hydrogen bonds mediate the characteristic L-shaped molecular structure. tRNAs have two regions of fundamental functional importance: the anti-codon, which is responsible for specific mRNA codon recognition, and the 3' end, to which the tRNAs corresponding amino acid is attached (by aminoacyl-tRNA synthetases). tRNAs cope with the degeneracy of the genetic code in two manners: having more than one tRNA (with a specific anti-codon) for a particular amino acid; and 'wobble' base-pairing, i.e. permitting non-standard base-pairing at the 3rd anti-codon position. The record is from RNAcentral.